RNAcentral lists this ribosomal RNA (443 nucleotides) under uncultured bacterium. Its description in RNAcentral is "partial 16S ribosomal RNA". It matches the Rfam family "Bacterial small subunit ribosomal RNA", at positions 338 to 795 of the family's 1533-position model. The record is from RNAcentral.
CCUACGGGAGGCUGCAGUGGGGAAUAUUGGGCAAUGGGCGCAAGCCUGACCCAGCAACGCCGCGUGAAGGAAGAAGGCUUUCGGGUUGUAAACUUCUUUUCUCAGGGACGAAAAAAGUGACGGUUCCGGAGGAAUAAGCCACGUCUAACUACGUACCAGCAGCCGCGGUAAUACGUAGGUGGCAAGCGUUAUCCGGAGUUAUUGGGUGUAAAGGUGUUGUAGGCGGGAGUGUAAGUCAGAUGUGAAAACUCAGGGCUCAACCCUGAGCCUGCAGUUGAAACUGUGUGUCUUGAGUGCUGGCAGGGCAAUCGGAAUUCAGUGUGUAGCGGUGAAAUGCGUAGAUAUACGGAGGAACACCAGUGGCGAAGGCGGAUGGCUGGACAGUAACUGACGCUGAGGCGCGAAAGCGUGGGGAGCAAACAGGAUUAGAUACCCGUGUAGUC